This 4206-nucleotide antisense RNA is filed under the name Pan troglodytes (chimpanzee). The stretch from base 1 to 101 matches the Rfam family "Embryonic ventral forebrain-2 long ncRNA", at positions 42 to 142 of the family's 142-position model. The record is from RNAcentral. Lineage: Eukaryota; Metazoa; Chordata; Mammalia; Primates; Hominidae.
GAAAGAGCUUCUGCCCUGAGACUCAGAAAAAUAUUCUCCUGUGCUUCGGUUCAGUAUAGAUUUCUAAACCCUGAUCAUUGCUUAAGAGAUAUUCACUGAGGGUCCUACGUCUCUGCAAUUUGUGUAUGAAUAACAGAAUAAUUUCCCUCUUUUGUUUCGCCUUUCCUGUUCCUGAAUCUAAAUAAAGAUGGCUUUUUAGUAUUAAAAGUGGAAGAAAAUUACAGGUAAUUAUCUUUGACGGUAAAAACGCUGUAAUCAGCGGGCUACAUGAAAAAUUACUCUAAUUAUGGCUGCAUUUAAGAGAAUGGAAAAAAACCUUCUUGUGGAUAAAAACCUUAAAUUGUCCCCAAUGUCUGCUUCAAAUUGGAUGGCACUGCAGCUGGAGGCUUUGUUCAGAAUUGAUCCUGGGGAGCUACGAACCCAAAGUUUCACAGUAGGAAGGGGGAAAAAAGAAAAGAAAACAUUUUUCCUAAUGUAACAAUGCGAAUGCUAGAAAAUGACAAGACUGAUCGGUUUUAAACCAUUCUGAAGACUGACUGAGCGUGGAAGUUGCUCAACAAAAAAAGGAACGGGUAUAUUGUUGCUGAGACAAAGGAAAACCCACUCCCUUGGAGGAGCAUGACCUUUUCCUGUAAUUCUUCCCACUGCUGUUGUUGAGCUCCUUGGACCAUGGCUCCUGGACACCAUCAUCAAGAAGACUUUAUGGAUGGGCUGUCCACCCACUGAGAGAAGAGGAGCAUCAGCUACAGUUUCUCUCUAGAUUGCCUUCUUCAUUUUGAGUAAUGACUGUCAGCAGGGUCAGAUUAAAGACAAAACAACUGGACAAUUGCUUGGAGGACUAAACUAUAAGGGCACUAACAUAUCAAUAGUAUGCUAACACAUCCAUGGAAAAUAUAUUUACCAGCUCUUCUCUCAGGGAGGAUUCUGUGUGGGGUUGGAAGUAAUGAUUUGUUAAAUUCCUUAGGGGUAGAAAGUAGGGCAUAAUCAGAAUAUAGAGGAAUAGGCUGUUUGACUUCAGGGUUUCUGUUUUUCUUACUAGGAUAUAUAAAACAGGGACUCUAGCUAGAUUGUUUAUGACCACAGAGGGUAGGCUGAGCGCUCUCAUGAUCUUCCUGCUUGGUUCUUGCCCAUACAGAGGUCAGCCUUUCCUCUAAUAAAGAUUGAACAAGUAGUGGUCUGAGGGAGACACCAACUCAUUACCCUACAUGUCUCUUCUCUGCACUCCAGGGCUUUGAUAAUAAAGACACUGGCAGACUAUCUAUCUUCCAUUUCUAUAAUGUGAGCCCUUAGGGAGUCUUCGUUCACUUGGGGGUGAGGGUCAUUGCUCACAGAGUAGUUCAAGUCAAAUGGAACUUGAACUCUUUGCCUAUGGGCCUGGUGGUCAGACUCUGUGUUGAGUUCAUUAGAUUAUUGGAGACACAAGGUAGAGCUGGAUGCUUCAAAAAUAUUUGGCUAAAGGAUGACAUUGCUGGUUAUUUGUAGAUAAAGCCAUGAUGGAACCUGCUUGGAAUCAUGAAAUAUGGAACUGGUGGUCAUGUUUAAAAAUACAACUAAUAGUUAAGUACCUACUGGACACUGUAGAGACUUAGGGGCUAGACAGACAUGGUUCCUGCCCCCAUGGAGCUUACACUGUAGCUUCCCCUUAGGUAUGAAGAACAGUGGCUACAACUAACAAAUGGCCACAAAGAUAUAAUUGAGCCAGUGUUCCAAUUAUUAGGGUAAUUCCUAUUUCCUUAAUCAUGCCUAUUGACCAUGUUCUAUAAGCCUGCAUUCUAUAAAUGGCCUAUGACCAUGGGCUGUUUCCCCCCAGCAAGUUGUACAAAGUUCUGUGGUACCAGGGAAAGGGCUUAAGGUUAGCAGGGCCUCUGGGGAAGGACAUAUGAAGUGACUUGGGUUAGGAAACAGGAAGGGAUAGGAUUCAAGAACAGCUAUUGCUUCUGUUCUAUAUAGGAAACUGCAGCGUGAAAAAUGCUGGGCUGGGAAUUUUGAGACCUGGGUUUUAGUUUGUGUUCUAAUACUAACAAGCUAUGUGACUGUGGUUAAGUCAUUUCACAUUCCAUUUGGAUGCCUCUUGAGUGACUCCAGGCCUCUCCAGCUCUAAAACAUUGAGAUCAGGCCCUACGCUACAGCUGGCCAGUGUGUAGUUCUUCUGUUUCUAUGCUGUUAGGUCAAAUAGAUCUUCAAUAGUUACUUGAUUGUUAUUACUUUUUUCUGAAGUGGGUGUUUUAUCAGUGUUUUAGGAUACAGUGAGUCUGCUUCUCCCCUUUGGAGUUAGGAAGGUUGUAGGAAUAUACACUGUAGAGCAUAUGGGAGCUUUAUCUCCUCCUUUUUCCCCCCCUACCUUUCUCCCUCUCCUUCCCUUCGUCACAUUUCUAUUGAGCAUAUGCCAUUGCCGUGUACCAGGUGUGUGCUAGGUUUGGAGAUACAAGGUAAACUUGAGACUUUCCCAGCCUCCAGGAGACAAAACCCUAAUUUCUUUCAUCUGCUGUCUUUCUCUUUGGAAAGAAUCAACGAUAUCCCAGGGGAAUGUGCCCAUGUCCCAGGGUAACCAACUACAGACAGAUGCCCCAUUCUACUCAAGCAACUUUUAGAGUGCCUUGAGAUACACAUCAGAUAAUUAUGCAGGGCCAGGCAUGGUGGUGCACACUUGUAAUCACAGCACUUUGGGAGGCCGAGGCAGCAGAUUGCUUGAGCCCAGGAAUUCAAGUGUAGCCUAGGGAACAUGGCAAAACCCCAGCUCUACAAAAAAAUACACAAAUUAGCUGCGUGUGGUGGCCUAUGACAGGAGGCUGAGAUGGGAGGAUUGCUUGAGCCUGUGAGGUCGAGGCUGCAGUGAGCCGAGAUCAUGCCAUUGCACUCCAGCCUGGGUGACAUAGGGAGACCCUGUCUUGAAAAAAAAAAAAAAAAAAAGAUAAUUAUUCAGCCCUAGAGUCAUUGUGAAAAGAUCUAUCUUCAGAUAUAAGGAAGAAACAAUCUUUUAUUUCUUAGGAUAAAUCUGUAGAAGGACCUCCAGACAGUGAAGGCCACUGACUACUUUACACUCUGUAAGCCAUCCCUCCCUGGUAGGAAGGACUAUUUCCAAUCUUACAGAGUACCUCUCAGCAAAUAGACGUUUUCACAUAUACUGUGAUUCAUACAUCCCUAUGGCUGGUGACCUCUUUAAAAAGGAAAGGAAAAAGCCUAAUCAAACAAAAAGAUUCUUUUUUUUACAAUAUUACAAUUGUAAUUACAAUAGUAAUUCUUACCCUAUUGUGAAUCCUAUAUAAGCAAAUUUGUAUCUUUGUUUUUUCCCACAUUAGCAGAUCUAUUUGAUGUAUAUCUCUGAGUGCAGAAAAUAUUUUAUGGAAAAAUCAAUAUAUGGAAUUUCAAAUUCAGAAUUGCUGAUACACACUAUUUGGUUUCAGAAUUUUAUCCUAGGAAAUAGUAUUAGAGAUUUCAAUUUCUGGCUUAAAUGGUAGAAUUAAUUACUCUUAACUCUUAAUUUUACUUCUGAGUUGAGGUCAAGGAACAGGCAGACACCUCCAGUUAACGUCUAUACCUCUCCAUGGCCAAGAGUUUUAAUUUUCUCGUCUUCAGUUUUGUAGAUGUACAUCAUUACUAAAUGGAUUGAUUAGUAUUUUAUCUCCUCUCCUUGUCCUUACUUUCCCUCUGGUAAAUAUGUUAUAAACAGUGUAAGGCUCCUAAGAUAGAGUAGCUGGUAGGACUUAGAAGAGAAACAAAGGGCACUGAUAACUCACAUAAAUGGAAAAUUGGCUCUGGAAUAACUGACAACAUAUUCAAGUAUUUUAGUGCAGUGUCAUUCUCAUUAAGAAGAAGAGAACCAGUAAAUCUAUGUGACUCUAAACAUUCUAAUGAAAAAAGGAAUAUUCUGCCAAUUAUCUCACAUUUCUAAAUAUCUGGAUAUUGGCCAUCAUAAAGACAAAACAUACAGAUGAUGGACUUGUCUUUCCACCUCUCAUUUGCAUGGUUUGGAGCAUUGUACCUCCAGCCAUUGACUCUAAGGCAAUUUAUAUUUGCUUCCUCUUCCCUCUUGAGAGAAAACGAAAAUCUUAUUUUUCCAAGCAAUUAAAACUCUUCUGCUUCAGCUAGGAUGAAAGAAUUAGGAGUUCUGUCUCUUUGUAUCUAAUUGCAUGUUUCAUCUUUCUUGUUUUAAUGAUUGACAGAAAACUAAUAAACUGAGACAUCUUUGAAUCCAGGUUGAAUGUA